Molecule: ribosomal RNA, 508 nt
Filed under: uncultured bacterium
Lineage: Bacteria
Description: partial 16S ribosomal RNA
Rfam family: Bacterial small subunit ribosomal RNA
Source: RNAcentral
GAUGAACGCUAGCUACAGGCUUAACACAUGCAAGUCGAGGGGAAACGAUAUUUGAAGCUUGCUUCCGAUAGGCGUCGACCGGCGCACGGGUGAGUAACGCGUAUCCAACCUGCCCACCACUUGGGGAUAACCUUGCGAAAGUAAGACUAAUACCCAAUGAUAUCUCUAGAAGACAUCUGAAGGAGAUUAAAGAUUUAUCGGUGAUGGAUGGGGAUGCGUCUGAUUAGCGUGUUGGCGGGGUAACGGCCCACCAAGGCGACGAUCAGUAGGGGUUCUGAGAGGAAGGUCCCCCACAUUGGAACUGAGACACGGUCCAAACUCCUACGGGAGGCAGCAGUGAGGAAUAUUGGUCAAUGGACGAGAGUCUGAACCAGCCAAGUAGCGUGCAGGAUGACGGCCCUAUGGGUUGUAAACUGCUUUUAUAAGGGAACAAAGUGAGCCUCGUGAGGCUUUUUGCAUGUACCUUAUGAAUAAGGACCGGCUAAUUCCGUGCCAGCAGCCGCAGUAA